CCCUUAGAUGUUCUGGGCCGCACGCGCGCUACACUGAUGCAUUCAACGAGUUUACCUUGGCCGAGAGGCCUGGGCAAUCUUUUAAACCUGCAUCGUGAUAGGGAUAGAUUAUUGCAAUUAUUAAUCUUGAACGAGGAAUUCCUAGUAAACGCAAAUCAUCAAUUUGCGUUGAUUACGUCCCUGCCCUUUGUACACACCGCCCGUCGCACCUACCGAUUGAAUGGUCCGGUGAAGCCUCGGGAUUGUGGCCAGUUCACUUUAUUGGGAGUUGGCUGCGAGAACUUGUCUAAACCUUAUCAUUUAGAGGAAGGUGAAGUCGUAACA
This 324-nucleotide ribosomal RNA is filed under the name uncultured eukaryote. RNAcentral's name for it is "partial 18S ribosomal RNA". It matches the Rfam family "Eukaryotic small subunit ribosomal RNA", at positions 1470 to 1796 of the family's 1831-position model. The record is from RNAcentral.